AUCAGUGAGUCAAUGUCUCGCUCAUUCUUGGCAUACAGCUUGAUGUCUUCCAUGUAGAAUAGGUGGCUGAUAGUAGCUCCAGUUUUGAACCUGUAUUCGUAUCCACCCUUCUUGAUGAUCUGGCUGAGGGGGUUGAGGCCUAUGCAGAACAGCAUUGGGGAUAGCGCAUCACCUUGGUAUAUGCCACAUUUAAUGUUCACUUAAGUUAUCGUCCUGGAAUUGGCUUCUAGAGUUGUUUUCCACUUGCCCAUCGAGUUCUUGAUGAAGGCUCUUAUUGUCUUGCUGACCUUGUAGAGAGCCAAGCAUUCCAGUAUCCAUGCGUGUGGCAUUGUGUCAUAGGCUUUCUUGUAGUCAAUCAAGGCCAUACACAGAUUGGUCUGUCUGUUCUUAGAAUCUCUUGUGACUGCUUGGUCUACCAGUAGUUGGUGUUUGAU
Molecule: non-coding RNA, 434 nt
Organism: Pelobates cultripes (western spadefoot toad)
Lineage: Eukaryota; Metazoa; Chordata; Amphibia; Anura; Pelobatidae
Source: the annotation of a GenBank genome assembly